Molecule: ribosomal RNA, 253 nt
Filed under: uncultured bacterium
Lineage: Bacteria
Description: partial 16S ribosomal RNA
Rfam family: Bacterial small subunit ribosomal RNA
Source: RNAcentral
UACAGAGGUCUCGAGCGUUGUUCGGAUUCAUUGGGCGUAAAGGGUGCGUAGGUGGCGCCGUAAGUCAGGUGUGAAAUUUCGGAGCUUAACUCCGAAACUGCAUUUGAUACUGCGGUGCUUGAGGACUGGAGAGGAGACUGGAAUUUACGGUGUAGCAGUGAAAUGCGUAGAGAUCGUAAGGAAGACCAGUGGCGAAGGCGGGUCUCUGGACAGUUCCUGACACUGAGGCACGAAGGCCAGGGGAGCAAACGGG